GCGAGAGCACAGCACAAUGUCCAACGUGGAGCUUAAAGAGUUGCUAAACAGUUGGGGAUUUGGACAUAUAUUUCCACUCUUGUUGUCUGAGGAUAUUACCUUGAAAAGAUUGCGAUUCUUAACCGAAAUCGACUUGACAUUUCUUUUUCGACAUUUGAAAUUAGGCGAAAAAAUUGAAUUUCGAUUUCAUUUAAACGAAUGGAAACGCAAAGAAGGUUAUGCAAGUAGCACCCAAAUUGAAAGGGAUUUAGAUGAUCAUGUUCAUCAUCAUCAUGUUGAGCCCAUACAACCAAGCACUUCUUCCUCGUCAACUUCAAAUAAAAUAAACCAACAUCCAAACUUUUUGAUAUUUUACUCACGCUACGAGACCAUCCGGCUGGCAACUAUGUUAAACGAAUUCUUAAAGAACAAAGUAGCAUGAAUGAUACAUCGAGAAAAAUUCUGAUUGAAGCCAUUGUUACACAUAUGGUUAAAAAUAAAAUAAAGCCUGGCAAACUGAUUUCGAUAGGAUAGCCCAUGAAAUAGAAAGACAAUUCAAAGAUGACAAGAGAAUUUAUUAUAAUUGUAUUGGAUUAAGGCCCAGCGGAAGACUCUAUGAUAAGUAUUACAAUACGCUGAAAAAACUUAAGAAAUACGGUGGAGUUUUUGAUACAUCUUCUUCGGGGAAAGUUGUAGAAAGCACUGAAGAAAAGAUAUCGAAUGAAAAAGCUAUUCAGGCCCAAGAAUGGCUUAAAUCUAAUAACGAACCCUGGUCUGUGGUCGAGGAGAAAUGGCGUUUGUGCUAUAAAUUGCGAAGGGACGAUAUAGUUAACAUGGAUGAUCGAAAACUCUCAAUUCUUGGCUUUUAACUCAAUGGAGUUUAUAUUCCCAUUUUUGGGACAUCUUUUGGUUGAGAUAGAUUUAUAAUGUUAUAUCCCGAAUGCCCGCCAUUAAUGAGUAAAUGGGAUUUAUUCAGGGAGAAAAUAACGCCCAUAUUGAAUGAAAAAUUAACAGAUUCAGUUAAUUUACUUACUUGGAGGAAAUUAACGCAAACACUGAAGGUUCCGAUCAAACUUUGGCAAUGUUACUUCAUGUCCUUCUCGUGUCUAUGCGAAAACCUAAUGUCAAGACCACGGUAAAGGACUCGCACAUUUCAUUUAUGAUUCAAGCUACAUCAUAUUGCAAAGCAGAAAAGCAAUUAGAAAUGCUAAAAACUAAAAUGUACAAUAGUGGCGAGUCUCUGAAACCCAUUGUAGUUGCAAUUGGUGGAAAUUUUGAUUGUACCAAGUUCUAUGUGUAUUUUGAUGAUAUUAAAUAUUCUGCGCCUGACUUCCUCACAGCAUUCGAUAUAAGCUUUAAGAUAUUUCAUGUUUUAAAUCUUAAGUAUCCAGCUGAAAGUUUUGAUUUUUUGAUGUUUAUACAGAAAUAUUUUUAUGACAUUCAUUUGGAAACGGACAAUGUAUCACCUAACAUAUUAUGUUUAAUAGUGAC
Long non-coding RNA from Drosophila serrata, 1470 nucleotides. Lineage: Eukaryota; Metazoa; Arthropoda; Insecta; Diptera; Drosophilidae. The record is from RefSeq and is a predicted model, not a curated record.